GGACUCUUGAGUGGGAACAACUGAAUACAAUUGAAGCAAAGGAAGAUAGGUGGUUAAUGGAAGCACGAUGACAAACGAGCAGAGGAGCAAAUGGAUCAGAAGAAAGAGGACCUAAUUACAUGAAUGUGACAGUAAGUUAUAGUAUGAUCUUUUGGUCAUUGAUCAAUAAAAUAAUGAGAACUCAUAAUAUAUAAAAAAAUAACUUAUCAUUAUUGUUAUUUGCUUUAGUUUGUCUUUCUUUUCUCUUUGUCCUCCGAUAAUUGUCAUGUAACAGAUUCUUUUUGAAUCCAUUAUUUAUAAAAAAAUUUCCUGUGACUUUUGAAACCCACAAUUUCAACCAAACAUUUUUACUUGAAAAUAAAAACAACAAUUUAUUAUCCAGAGAGAAAGCAAUGAAUAAAGUUUACAUAACAACAACUCGAAUUUGAUCAACUGCCACACUCGGACAUUUUUUCCUUGCAUCAAACUUGAGUUGUAUACCACAUGGUUUAUAAAAGUCUAUAUAAUUAAAUCCAUAACACCAACAGAGCAGUAAAGAGCAGCAAUCAGUAAGUGAAGGAAAAGCGACAACUUCGACAUAUGAACGACCUGCAACCAUAGAGGGUUUCUCUACACCUAAACAAUUACGCUAUGUGCAUCUUGAACACCACAAGCUAGAAAAUAAACCCGGACAUGCUCAGCUCAGAUGACGAUUCAGCAACAUAUUUGAAGGGGUAUCUAAUUCGAUGAGAGCAGAGCAAACCGACGCACUAAAGGAACGAGGGCUCUUGGCCAUCAAAGGAUGGAUCAGGAGCUACGUUGCCAGCUCAACAUACCAAGCAGUAUCGUACAUGUAACACUACACAAUUCUCAAAUCAAUGCUAAUGUCUCUGGGGCAAAUUGUCGAACAGGUGGUGAACGCGAACUGCGAGAGGUUCGGUAGUUCAGUAGACAGAUACAUUCAAUGAACCGGCAUGACAUGAGAUGGUUAUCCAGAUGAAUCAACAAAUUCGAAGGCAAACGAAGAACGAUCCAACGUCGGAGUGCUCUCAACCGAAGAGAAACAGAACAUCCUAGGAUGAUUACCUGGGAUCGGCUACAGUGACGCGCGACUUGAAUCGCGGGGGCGGAAGAGAGCCGUGACGAAGUGGAGAACGCACUCACUGGAAAUGACGGCACCGAUCGGGGGUAGGAUGGUCGUCGGCGUGGC
This 1189-nucleotide long non-coding RNA is filed under the name Eucalyptus grandis. RNAcentral's name for it is "long non-coding RNA (EGRA_LNC003541)". The record is from RNAcentral. Lineage: Eukaryota; Viridiplantae; Streptophyta; Magnoliopsida; Myrtales; Myrtaceae.